AAUGUUCUUAAUUUAACUCUUUUCUACCAUACUCUAUUGUGGGCAUAUCAAAUGAUAUUUCUCAUUAGUCUAAAACAGUCAAAGAAUUGCAGCAUUGUAGGGGUUGGAGGGGACCUCUGGAGACCAUGCGGCUCAUCUCUCCUGCUAAAGCAGGGUCUCUACAGCAGGUUGCACAGCAAAGCAUCCAGACAGCCUUCAUUCAUUUCCUGAUGGCAGAAGAGGAAUAAUUUUUAACUUGAACUACAUCUUCUUUAUUUUAAAUUAUCAGCAGUAAGUUUCAGUGAGAAAGCUACUUUUAAGUCACAUACAUUUGCAAAAAGGUCACAACAGUAGCUGAACAAAGCUCUGCUGUGAACUUUCUCUGAAAGCCCUCAGCCAACUCAUUUCCAAGCAUACAGGCACCGUAAUGGUGGACAUUAGGAAAAUCUGUUGCUAGAGAGCUGUGCAAACUUCAGCAAAUAAACAGAGUGCAUUUUUAAUUACAAACUGAACCACCUUUUUCUAAAGGAACUCAAAACGCAAACAAUUCAAGUUACUCUUUUGCACUCUGCACCAAGCACCCAGCUUGUUGACUUCACAGGAAAUACGCAGCCAUCAUAUUCCCCUCUGAGGCUUCUUCUGACCAGUUCAGGCGUACUAGGAGAGCUCCACCUUUAUAAAUAAUAAAUGAGACUUCACUGUUAAAAGGAUCUUACUUGCUUAGUUGCUUUACAAUGCAAUGCAUCUAUAGAUACAAAAGCUGACAAACUCCAGAGCAGCACUACACCAUAUUGUCAAGUACCUACUUGUGGGAGAGGACCUUUCUGGUUACUGCCGUAUGAGACAACGCAGCACAAAGCCGGAGCAUGCUACAGGCACUGCUGCCUACAGACUCACAGCAGAAAAUGCAGUUUCCUAUUGAUUUCAGUUUCACUUCACGAGGCCUAUUUUUGUUUAACUCCUGCGUCACCAAGUAAAGCAGAUUUCCAGUUGCCAAUCUCCCAGUAAUACAAGUCAGCUUCCGAGGACUGAAAGAGAAGAAAGGAGCCCACAGUCUGCCUCACCGACCUGGUACAGCUGAGCCAGGGCGACUCCAACCGCCUGCAAUUGGCACAGCUCCCUCGUUUGCCACCAUCUGUGCUGCACACCCGCAGCUUCUCAAGGUGAGGGUGGGUGGGAAAAAGAAUGGAGAGUGUCAAAGGCACUGAGACAUGCACAAGUCUGCUUUGCUAACCAAGUAUUUCUGCAUCGUGAAAUGCCAGCAGAGCAAAUCUGACCUCCGUACAAGAGAAACACUUAAGGAAAAGGAGAAAUGACUAGGGGAAACACUGUGUGAUUUAAUGAGGUGAGGGAGAGAGAAAAGAUUUUGAACCACAGACAGAAAGUCUCAUCACUCAACUCUAUAUAUGUGUGCUUUUGUAUAUAUGUAUAUAUAUGUAUAGCUCAGAUGUUAAUGCACAUUUUCAAGAAAAAUAAUUACUCAAAAUCUGCUUGUUAGAUGAAGAUAAAAAAGAACUCCUCCUUGUUUUUCAGAGAUGCUCUAAGAGGAAAACAUGAUGAUUCUACGAUGAGCUGUCGCUGAGCUACAACCCACUCUGUUCUAUUGCUGCUCACUACAGCUGCUUUAACAUUCAGUCAGCUCAGCUGCCUUUUAUAUUCAUCACAUGCAGAAAUUCUCAAAUGUCCCUUAUCACACAAGGCAAUCCCUGUCCUCAUAGUCCAACCCGAUUUGAUCUCUUUUUGCUUUGUUGACAUUUAGGAUUGAUUUGCGAAAUAGAAAAGGAACCCUGCUUCGAAACCAUUUGAAUUCCUACACCACAUACGUUUUUCUCUGCCAUUCCUUUUGGUCUCUAGAAAACCGAGGCUACAUGGUACAGUGCACCAUUUGCAUAUCAAAAGCAACAGCACUUUAUGCAAAAGUGAAAUGCAACCAGUUUUCUGCUUUCAGGAAGAGCUUAAGACAUGAAAAAGCACUUCCUUCCUUCCUCUGAGUCUUUAACUCUAAAUUCAGGUGUAGCUUAGUCUGUCACAAGUGGUUAAGAUAAACAGCUUAUGACUGAAGAAGCUCCUCCACUGCCACUGUUACCUGAUAGAUAUUUGCCAAAAACAGAGAUCAUUUUCCUUCCACACAGAACAGUUAAGAACUUCAUAGUCCUGAAUGAAUUAACAUAAUUAAGAAAACAAUUCAAAUGCUCAGAAAAUCACACAGAACGAAUUUAUCUCAAGUGACCUACAGCUUUUGUGAAUGACACCAAUCCUCCUACUGGGGUGUUUCAAUGUCUUUUUUUCAAGCUGACUACCACGGCCUCAGAUGUAUCACGUUAUUACAGUGUGCAAGAUGACUCUCUGUCCUGAUUUGUGACCAGUCUGUGGCAUCAAUGCCAACAACUUCCCCAUCUAGAAAUACAGCCGGCCAGCCUAGACAGAGCAAUGCGGUGGGAACAGCAGAACAGCUGAUGGAGAAUGCCGGCUGCUCAGCACAGUGCCUGGCUGCUCUUGGUGCAGACAGUGGGUGGUGCUUGAGCUGCCAUCAGCCCUGCCAAAUCCCUCCUCCGUUACUUCCCACCACUAGAAAUGGUGAAGUAUUCCCCAGAUGCUGCCACAAGAGUACACUGAUCAAUUCAGGCAUCACCAGUUUCAUAAAAUAUGUAUGCUUCAGGCGAUUUAAAAGAAAAACAGCUAGCAGACAGCUCCUAUGGUCCAAGAACCACGCUACAUUACAGCAUAUUGGAUCAUAUACUCAUUUGAAUUGUACUCCCCAGUCAAGUUAGUUUAUCAUUUUUGAGUCACCUAAAACCCUCCUUAAACCCUCACAGAUAAUCUGAAAUUUAUCCCCAUACAUCUUCAGUUACAGACAGAUCAUUUACAUAAAUUACACUGGAUCACAAGCAAGAGCCCAGAUUUAAAAUUAGCCGGUCUCAGCAAAAUACCUUCCAUUUUUCAUCUCUUUCUUGCUUACUAAAAAUCUAAAGCACA
This is a long non-coding RNA of Gallus gallus (chicken), 2955 nucleotides long. The record is from Ensembl. NCBI's taxonomy places the organism in Eukaryota, Metazoa, Chordata, Aves, Galliformes, Phasianidae.